AGUGAACGCUGGCGGUAGGCCUAACACAUGCAAGUCGAACGGCAGCACAGUAAGAGCUUGCUCUUACGGGUGGCGAGUGGCGGACGGGUGAGGAAUACAUCGGAAUCUACUUUUUCGUGGGGGAUCACGUAGGGAAACUUACGCUAAUACCGCAUACGACCUACGGGUGAAAGCAGGGGAUCUUCGGACCUUGCGCGAUUGAAUGAGCCGAUGUCGGAUUAGCUAGUUGGCGGGGUAAAGGCCCACCAAGGCGACGAUCCGUAGCUGGUGUGAGAGGAUGAUCGGCCACACUGGAACUGAGACACGGUCCAGACUCCUACGGGAGGCAGCAGUGGGGAAUGUUAGACAGUGGGCGCAAGCCUGAUCCAGCCAUACCGCGUGGGUGAAGAAGGCCUUCGGGUUGUAAAGCCCUUUUGUUGGGAAAGAAAAGCAGCAGGUUAAUACCCCGCUGUUCUGACGGUACCCAAAGAAUAAGCACCGGCUAACUUCGUG
RNAcentral lists this ribosomal RNA (492 nucleotides) under uncultured bacterium. RNAcentral's name for it is "partial 16S ribosomal RNA". It matches the Rfam family "Bacterial small subunit ribosomal RNA", at positions 29 to 507 of the family's 1533-position model. The record is from RNAcentral.